This 131-nucleotide small RNA is filed under the name Salmonella enterica subsp. enterica. Its description in RNAcentral is "RtT sRNA". It matches the Rfam family "RtT RNA". From Rfam's summary of the family: This family represents a bacterial cis-regulatory element known as RtT RNA. The record is from RNAcentral. Lineage: Bacteria; Pseudomonadati; Pseudomonadota; Gammaproteobacteria; Enterobacterales; Enterobacteriaceae.
UAUCUCUCCGUACGGGGAAGGAUGAGAAGCUUCGACUAAGGUUCGAUUCGAGCGCAGCGAGAAAGCGUUGCCGCAGGCAACGACCCGAAGGCCAAACCGCGCAGCGCUGGGCCAUCCUUCUCCCACCACCA